RNAcentral lists this transfer RNA (77 nucleotides) under Patescibacteria group bacterium. RNAcentral's name for it is "tRNA-His". It matches the Rfam family "tRNA". From Rfam's summary of the family: Transfer RNA (tRNA) molecules are approximately 80 nucleotides in length. Their secondary structure includes four short double-helical elements and three loops (D, anti-codon, and T loops). The record is from RNAcentral.
GGUGACUGUAGCUCAACGGUAGAGCGUCCGCCUGUGAAGUGGAAGGCCGGGGGUUCAACUCCCCUCAGUCACCCCCA